GUCAGGGUAGCUCAGCUGGUAGAGCAGAGGA
RNAcentral lists this transfer RNA (31 nucleotides) under Leichhardtia dognyensis. Its description in RNAcentral is "Marsdenia dognyensis partial tRNA-Phe". Lineage: Eukaryota; Viridiplantae; Streptophyta; Magnoliopsida; Gentianales; Apocynaceae. The record is from RNAcentral. RNAcentral also lists the same sequence under 1 other name.